This 427-nucleotide ribosomal RNA is filed under the name uncultured bacterium. RNAcentral describes it as "bacterial SSU rRNA". It matches the Rfam family "Bacterial small subunit ribosomal RNA", at positions 355 to 775 of the family's 1533-position model. The record is from RNAcentral.
UCGAGAAUUUUUCUCAAUGGGGGAAACCCUGAAGGAGCGACGCCGCGUGGAGGAUGAAGGUCUUCGGAUUGUAAACUCCUGUCAUUUGGGAACAAUUGUUGGCGAUUAACUGUCGUCAGCUUGAUAGUACCAGAAGAGGAAGAGACGGCUAACUCUGUGCCAGCAGCCGCGGUAAUACAGAGGUCUCAAGCGUUGUUCGGAUUCAUUGGGCGUAAAGGGUGCGUAGGUGGCGAGGUUAGUCAGGUGUGAAAUCUCGGGGCUCAACCCCGAAACUGCACUUGAUACUGCCUUGCUAGAGUACUGGAGAGGAGAUUGGAAUUUACGGUGUAGCAGUGAAAUGCGUAGAUAUCGUAAGGAAGACCAGUGGCGAAGGCGAAUCUCUGGACAGUUACUGACACUGAGGCACGAAGGCCAGGGGAGCAAACGG